UCUGUCUAUUUCCAUCUG
Molecule: microRNA, 18 nt
Filed under: Callorhinchus milii (elephant shark)
Lineage: Eukaryota; Metazoa; Chordata; Chondrichthyes; Chimaeriformes; Callorhinchidae
Description: eshark_NOVEL_237
Source: RNAcentral